UGAAAGUGUCACUAUGGUCCCUUCUGUCACCUUGACACUCAUUUCAGCACAGACUAUCCAUGUAUAGACUCAGACCUCCUGAGUCAAGUGUGGAUGAAGCUCUGAUCUCUUUCUUCCCUUCCGUUUGGGGUCAUCUGAGGACACUCAUUUCUCACACAGGGACCUACUCAGGACUGCCAGCAGGACAGAGGAAAUUAGAAGUACCCAGUGAGUAUAAACUUCAUCCCUGACUGAUGUCCGGCACCCAGCCUAGCCCGUGUCCAUCCCAGGCUUCCAAUCCCUGUGAGCCCAGUGUUUCUCAGUAACACUCCUGCCCUGGCUGGCAGACUGCCUCCCGAGAGGGUUCAGAUAAACAUUCUGUAAAGACAGAGCCAGACAAUGAGCCAGGAUCCGAUUCAGAGAAGUUCCUCUUCUCUGGUUAACGUCAUUUUUAUUAAAUUAUAUCAAUUAUUAUUGUGUGUGCGUGUGUGAGAGAGAGAGACAUCGGGGAGGGCAUACAUGCUAAGCUAAGCCAGUGUAAGUCAGAGAAAAACUUCUAGAAUCACCCUCUCCUAUGGUUAGAUGAAUCACAGGGUUUGGUAGCCGAACUGGGGUUGUCAGUCUUGUCAGUAAGCACCUUCUGCUGAUGAGCUGUCUUGCCCGUCCGACAUUAUUUUUGUGAAAGCUGCCCAUGUUGCUGUGGUUAGUUUGACUCACUUAUUUUCUCAGCCACCAGGUAUCCUAUCUACUGCUUAAACUGCCUCUUUUUGAUGUUAUUUAUUUAUUUUCCUAGGUUGGGCUUUUAGGCUUCUUACUACUUGUUCUUACUAACAAGCGCUUCUGUGAACGUUUUUUGUACGACACGCCCUGUUAACCAUGGAAGAUAAAC
Molecule: long non-coding RNA, 868 nt
Filed under: Rattus norvegicus (Norway rat)
Lineage: Eukaryota; Metazoa; Chordata; Mammalia; Rodentia; Muridae
Description: long non-coding RNA NONRATT032794
Source: RNAcentral